UACGAAGGGGGCUAGCGUUGUUCGGAAUGACUGGGCGUAAAGGGCGUGUAGGCGGUUUACACAGUCAGAUGUGAAAUCCCCGGGCUUAACUCGGGAGCUGCAUUUGAUACGUGUAGACUAGAGUGUGAGAGAGGGUUGUGGAAUUCCCAGUGUAGAGGUGAAAUUCGUAGAUAUUGGGAAGAACACCGGUGGCGAAGGCGACAACCUGGCUCAUUACUGACGCUGAGGCGCGAAAGCGUGGGGAGCAAACAGG
This 253-nucleotide ribosomal RNA is filed under the name uncultured bacterium. Its description in RNAcentral is "partial 16S ribosomal RNA". It matches the Rfam family "Bacterial small subunit ribosomal RNA", at positions 524 to 776 of the family's 1533-position model. The record is from RNAcentral.